GACGAACGCUGGCGGCGUGCCUAAUACAUGCAAGUAGAACGCUGAAGGAGGAGCUUGCUUCUCUGGAUGAGUUGCGAACGGGUGAGUAACGCGUAGGUAACCUGCCUGGUAGCGGGGGAUAACUAUUGGAAACGAUAGCUAAUACCGCAUAAGAGUAGAUGUUGCAUGACAUUUGCUUAAAAGGUGCAAUUGCAUCACUACCAGAUGGACCUGCGUUGUAUUAGCUAGUUGGUGAGGUAACGGCUCACCAAGGCAACGAUACAUAGCCGACCUGAGAGGGUGAGCGGCCACACUGGGACUGAGACACGGCCCAGACUGCUACGGGAGGCAGCAGUAGGGAAUCUUCGGCAAUGGACGGAAGUCUGACCGAGCAACGCCGCGUGAGUGAAGAAGGUUUUCGGAUCGUAAAGCUCUGUUGUAAGAGAAGAACGAGUGUGAGAGUGGAAAGUUCACACUGUGACGGUAUCUUACCAGAAAGGGACGGCUAACUACGUG
This 495-nucleotide ribosomal RNA is filed under the name uncultured bacterium. RNAcentral's name for it is "partial 16S ribosomal RNA". It matches the Rfam family "Bacterial small subunit ribosomal RNA", at positions 28 to 507 of the family's 1533-position model. The record is from RNAcentral.